RNAcentral lists this ribosomal RNA (441 nucleotides) under uncultured bacterium. Its description in RNAcentral is "partial 16S ribosomal RNA". It matches the Rfam family "Bacterial small subunit ribosomal RNA", at positions 28 to 507 of the family's 1533-position model. The record is from RNAcentral.
GAUGAACGCUGGCGGCGUGCCUAAUACAUGCAAGUCGAACGGGGAGUAGCAAUACUCUUAGUGGCGAACGGGUGAGUAACGCGUUGGUACCUGCCCCGAAGCGGGGGAUAACGGACCGAAAGGUCCGCUAAUACCCCAUGUGCUCGGUAACGAGUAAAGGUGAAAACCACUUUGGGAGGGGCAUGCGUCCCAUCAGCUAGUUGGUAAGGUAACGGCUUACCAAGGCGAUGACGGGUAGGGGACCUGAGAGGGUGGCCCCCCACAAUGGAACUGAAACACGGUCCAUAAACCUACGGGUGGCAGCAGUAGGGAAUAUUGGUAAUGGGCGCAAGCCUGAACCAGCAACGCCGCGUGUGCGAUGACGGCCUUCGGGUUGUAAAGCACUUUUGACUGGGACGAGGAAGGACGGUACCGGUCGAAUCAGCCUCGGCUAACUACGUG